UACAGAGGGGGCAAGCGUUGUUCGGAAUUACUGGGCGUAAAGGGCGCGUAGGCGGCCUGUUAAGUCGAACGUGAAAUCCCCGGGCUCAACCCGGGAACUGCGUCCGAUACUGGCAGGCUUGAAUUCGGGAGAGGGAUGUGGAAUUCCAGGUGUAGCGGUGAAAUGCGUAGAUAUCUGGAGGAACACCGGUGGCGAAGGCGGUCUGCUGGGCAGUUGCUGACACUGAGGCGCGACAGCGUGGGGAGCAAACAGG
This 253-nucleotide ribosomal RNA is filed under the name uncultured bacterium. RNAcentral's name for it is "partial 16S ribosomal RNA". It matches the Rfam family "Bacterial small subunit ribosomal RNA", at positions 524 to 776 of the family's 1533-position model. The record is from RNAcentral.